GGAGAGGCUUCCCUGUCCGUUAUCCUUGGGGGCACUCGGUCUUCCUGUGGGACCCUCUUUUCUCGGAGAGUCCUUAGACGCCAGUCGUCGAGAGGAUGGCGUGAGGGCGGGUUAGAUGCCC
This 121-nucleotide non-coding RNA is filed under the name uncultured Neobacillus sp. Its description in RNAcentral is "epsC RNA". It matches the Rfam family "epsC RNA". Lineage: Bacteria; Bacillati; Bacillota; Bacilli; Caryophanales; Bacillaceae. The record is from RNAcentral.